GUUGGCUGCCCCUCAUUGACCUUGCUUGAGCUCCAAAGUUAAGCAGGGUAGUGCCUGGUUAAUGCUUGGAUGGGCGACCUCCUGGCAAUUCAGGUGCUGUAGGCU
Molecule: ribosomal RNA, 105 nt
Filed under: Salvator merianae (Argentine black and white tegu)
Lineage: Eukaryota; Metazoa; Chordata; Lepidosauria; Squamata; Teiidae
Source: RNAcentral